RNAcentral lists this ribosomal RNA (271 nucleotides) under uncultured archaeon. RNAcentral describes it as "partial 16S ribosomal RNA". It matches the Rfam family "Archaeal small subunit ribosomal RNA", at positions 477 to 747 of the family's 1478-position model. The record is from RNAcentral.
CUGCGCCCCGAGUGGGAAUCGCGUUUAUUGGGCCUAAAGCGUCCGUAGCCGGUCUUCAAAAUUUUCUGUGAAAUCGUCCAGCUUAACUGGUCGGCGUGCAGAAAACACUGGAAGACUAGGAACCAGGAGGAGUCAGAAGUAUUUCUGGGGGAGCGGUAAAAUGCAGUAAUCCCAGGAGGACUACCUGUGGCGAAGGCGUCUAGCUAGAACGGGUCUGACGGUGAGGGACGAAGCCCUGGGGCGCAAACCGGAUUAGAUACCCGCGUAGUCC